UACGGAGGGGGCUAGCGUUAUUCGGAAUUACUGGGCGUAAAGCGCACGUAGGCGGCUUUGUAAGUCAGAGGUGAAAGCCUGGAGCUCAACUCCAGAACUGCCUUUGAGACUGCAUCGCUUGAAUCCAGGAGAGGUGAGUGGAAUUCUGAGUGUAGAGGUGAAAUUCGUAGAUAUUCGGAAGAACACCAGUGGCGAAGGCGGCUCACUGGACUGGUAUUGACGCUGAGGUGCGAAAGCGUGGGGAGCAAACAGG
This 253-nucleotide ribosomal RNA is filed under the name uncultured bacterium. Its description in RNAcentral is "partial 16S ribosomal RNA". It matches the Rfam family "Bacterial small subunit ribosomal RNA", at positions 524 to 776 of the family's 1533-position model. The record is from RNAcentral.